This is a non-coding RNA of Paramuricea clavata, 484 nucleotides long. The record is from the annotation of a GenBank genome assembly. Lineage: Eukaryota; Metazoa; Cnidaria; Anthozoa; Malacalcyonacea; Plexauridae.
GUCCUGCAUGUUUCCCACAUUGCAUUGCAAUUUAUUGUUUAGCACUGAUAUGACUUACUUAACCCAUUCAGUAACAUUGUGCCAUGAUGGGCCCUACUUUACUCUGUCUAAUGCCAGACUAUUUUACUCUGUUUAACACCAGACAAUUUUAUUUGUCAAGGGUAGAGUGUUGGUGUUUAAUGGGUUAAGCACUUCUAAGGUACUGUUAAUUUUGAAAAUUCUUAACAAGGUAAACUAUUAGAUCAUUUUUGUGGCAUGAAGUACAUAUUGGUGUCAGCACUAAAUAGCUUCAAAGUUAUAUCAUGCAUAGCUAGAUCAAGCAAAAUUAUAAUGAGCUUUAGCUCAUUUGUUUUAACAGCAUGGAAAUUCUCUAAAUUUAACCCUUUAAGUGGCAAUGUACCCAGAUGCACCCUACUUUAUUAUUUACUCUGUCUAUUACAGUAAUGCCAGAUGAUUUUACUCGUAGCACUGUGCACAAUACAAU